Dalotia coriaria is the source of this 239-nucleotide long non-coding RNA. RefSeq lists it as uncharacterized. The transcript is spliced from 2 exons. The record is from RefSeq and is a predicted model, not a curated record. Lineage: Eukaryota; Metazoa; Arthropoda; Insecta; Coleoptera; Staphylinidae.
CGAUCGGCGAAUAGCUCCCUGGUUGAUCCUGCCAGUAGUCAUAUGCUUGUCUCAAAGAUUAAGCCAUGCAUGUCUCAGUACAAGCCAAAUUAAGGUGAAACCGCGAAAGGCUCAUUAAAUCAGUUAUGGUUCCUUAGAUCGUACCCACACUUACUUGGAUAACUGUGGUAAUUCUAGAGCUAAUACAUGCAAACAGAGUUCCAACCGGAGACGGAAGGAGCGCUUUUAUUAGAUCAAAA